Molecule: long non-coding RNA, 3711 nt
Organism: Astyanax mexicanus (Mexican tetra)
Lineage: Eukaryota; Metazoa; Chordata; Actinopteri; Characiformes; Acestrorhamphidae
Exons: 2
Source: RefSeq, a predicted model, not a curated record
CGCUGCUAAAUCUAAGUUUAUUGAAUAUUUCUUUUUUGUAGAUUCAACAGCUUUCUCCAAGGACCAGAGGUGGCACCCGAGGAACCUAUAGCUCAGCCCAGCGUGAGCAGUACUGAAGCCUAGGUAGCAAUGGAGAAGUGCAUGGCCAGAGUGUGUGUGUGUGUCUGUGUGUAAAGGAGAGGUCACAUGAAAUAUUGGAAGCUGGAUUCUACACACCUGAUGAUUGUUUGUGCUUUAUUCUUAUCUGGCACUUGGUUUGGUACACCACUAACACCCCAGAUAACAUGCUCAUGUGGGGCCUGUGUGGGAGCUCAAGUACCAGAAAGUUUUGUGUAUGGGUUCCAUGUUGACCCCACAUAUGGAUGUCACCUAUAGGCCUCAUUAGGGUCAGUGAUGGUGAGAGAAGGGGUAUAACAGGAGCCCCAAAACUUAGUUUUUGAAUCUCCGAUCAUGCUUCUUGCCUUCAGCGGCCAGAGUCAGAGAGAGAGCACAGUUGGUCAUGCUCUCUCUGGGGUGGGUAGAUGGCGCUCUCUCCCUAUAUCACUCCUAGUGUGAUGUAGGCAUCUGUUUGCUGAUGUUUCAGAGCUGGGGAUCCUGCGCUUUCCUCUAAGAGUGCUGGAAACACAGUGAUGCUGCAUUACCCCUCCUAGUGUUUUUUAGGAGUGUUAAUAUAAUUAUUGCUGUUAAUUGGCUUUCCAAAUUGAGGAGGAAUUAGGAUAAAAUUUGAAAUAAAUUCUUUAAAAAGCUCUAGGUGGCACAAUGAGCAUGGGGCCAAGAUGGAACCCAUCUGAGAUUAAGGAAUUCCCUUAACAAUACAUACUAGUACAAACCCACUCAGAAAUCAUGCCCACCUGAAACCCACCAACCCCACAUUCCCCCCAAAUGAGCCCCACAUGAGCAUGUUGGCUAGGACACCAUUUCUUCCUCACAAACAUCAGCUCUUUAGAAAAUACUGCUCUUCUCACUAAAUAAUAGAAAACUAGCAUAGCCUAGCGUAGCCCUUCAACCAUCACAGCCAACCAGCAAGUCUCAAAGUCUCAGCUGGACCAAGAAUUUCACAAAUGUUGUACUUAUCUGUAUGUUUUGGCAAUAUGUUUUUUUGUAGUUCUUCGAGGUAUGCAUAAGAAACAUUCAAGCAAUAAUAAUAAUAACAUGUACAUGCUACUCUAAUCUAUCUAGCGUACUCUACCAUGUUGACUUUUAAGUCUGCUUAAAGUAAGUGAAUCAGCUGGAUCGAUCGUACACAGACAUCACAACACCUCCACCACCUUCUUGUAUCGAUAUAUGUGCGAUCACUCAAACGUAUAUGUACGUUUUACCUCAAAUCAUCAGCUAUUUACCAGUUAUAGGAUUCCUUUGAGCUGGAGCGCUAAUGUGCUAACGCUUCACGCUAUAAUACUGUACACAGCACUGGAUUUGUUUGUAGCAGUUUAUGGACUCACUUAGUUUUGACAGUCCCCCAAUAGAUUUUCUACAGGUGAUUUAAUUUUGAACUCGGUUUAUUGGUGAAACUCAGAUGUCAACAAUCUUAGGGUUAGCAAUGUUAGCUUUAGGUUUCAAAAUGAAGUCAAGGUUCAAGCUAGAUGUGCAUUAAUACAUUAAUAGAAUCUAUUAAAGGAGCAUUAGUCAAUUUUCUCUUCCUUUUCUUACUAAUUUAGAACUGCCAAAUAUGUCCAAAUGUUUGUGGACACCCCUUGUAAUAAAUGCAUUUAGCUACAGAACUUUAAAGUAGCUCCUAUUGCUGACGCAUAUGUGCAAAUAUGCACACACAGCUUGUCUAGUCCCUGAAGAGAUGUCCGAAGAGGAGCAUAAUGCCAAACAUGGGAUAGAGGGGCAUAAAGCCCACCAGCAUCGAGCUGUGGAGAAGUGGAAUUAUGUUCUCUGGAAUGAUGGUGCUCCAUUCAGUAGUUUUGGGAAGAGUUGAAGAGUUAAAAAUCUGAAUCAAAUGCAUUUUGAAUGCAAUCAAAUCCUUACAGCAAUGUUAAAAAAUCAAAUUUUAACCCUCCUUUGAACUGUAGAAACAGUUACUCUAACAAAAUCAGCAUAAACUUUUUUUUUAAAUAACCUUGAUUUAAAAAUAUAUAUUUGUUAUCCACAGUGGUCAAUUCCGUUAACACAGGUAGUGACUGAAAAACUCAUUGGAGCACAUUACAAGGAAAUACAAGACAGGAACCAUACUUAACUGUUCUCAGACCAGCUAAUAACUAUAAUCUAAACCUAAAUAGUGUUUUAUAAGUUUUUAAUUUCAUCAUCAGGAAGCUAAAUGUCUUGGAAUAUCAGAUUAAAAUACUCCAGUGCACUACCAUAAUGCCCCUCAGAACUGGGCGUUUACAAUCACGCUAGCAGAUCUAGCCUCUUAACCAAUAGAGGUUGUGUGUCUUGAAUCUUGAGUAAUGCUCCUUUAAUUUCAACUUUCAACUAUUAGUUUUAUUCAUUAAUCAUAAUUAAAUGUUUCUUGUUUUUUUUAAAGUCAGUGUAGCACCUAGCAAACAUUUAUAGUGGAUUCUCAAAAUUAAGCAUUAAGCAACUUGUAUCUUUCUUUUGUCAUGUUAUUUUUACAGAGGGUAUAAUGAAAAAAAAAAACAAGCUGGUUACUAAAGCAGACAAAAUCUGCGUUCCAAAGUGUAGGCUGCAUCCUAGAUGGACUGUAUUUCUUGUUCGCUGUGUUUAUUUGAAGGCUGUUCAAAAAUAAAGGAUCCUUUGCAUACAGCCAAGAAAUGCAGCUGAAGUUUGGAAUGAUUUGAAGGACGCAGCUGAUGUAUCCUUCCUGGUUCUCAGUUAUUGUACAGUUUAUUGUGCACAUUCAAUAUGAGGGUAAAAAAAUAACAGCACCAUAAAAUGGUGGGAAACAAAGACUUGAUUAUAAUUUUAUGAUUUACUAUAAAUAAAGUUUGUGAUUGAUGUCACCACAAAGCUGUGUUAGACUUCACUAAAUAUAUGACCAACAAAUACAAAGACAAACAAUUCAUAGGACAGUCCUACUGAGGUCCCGCCCUACCUCGAAUUGAGCAGCCUGGACUUCGGAAUACAGAUAAGGUCUUUUCCAAUCAGCAGAGAAUCACUUAGUUACCAGCGCUUGUUCGUAAAUGAAUUGGGUCUUAUGCCACGAGUAAUCUGUCUCACAGAGUAAGACAGAAGCAGUGAAUGGGUUUUAAUACCUGGAGGCACCUGUCUUUACUUCCGGUCACAGUGUUUGCCAUGUGUAGUGAUCUGAUUAGUCGCUCCAGUCAAGUGGUCUGUCGAUUUGGAGAGCAUGCAGCUUCAGAGGUCUGUCAAAGUCAAUCAGCGUGGCUCAUGUCUUUUGAACACCUGUUUGUACAUCUGUGAACUUGUAUGUAUGUGUGUGUGAAUGAGUGUUUUGUAGGUGAGGUUGUGAUUUGGGAGUGUGUGUGUGCAGAAAUCAUAUCUGUCGUUUGCCAUUAGGUCUCUGAGUAAAUAAAAAAGAUAAAGUUCUCUUGGGAAAAGGGGGCGGGGACGUGAUAAAAAAAAGAGCUGUAAAGCACAAUUUCCACAUCCUCAGUGUGUGCGUGAAUGCACGCAUGUCACUGCAUGUUGCCUAGUUGUUAAUAUGUGGUUAUUAAAAAUCAAAUAUCAGAAAAAAAAUAUAUUGAAAUAAUGGAUAUCUUUGACCCAGAGGCCUUCUCAGAUCAUAUGAAGAUAAAAUAAUUGUAAAAUAGUGCAGAAUCUAUCAAUAAAUUUACCUCAACCCUA